CAGCCGCCGCGGUAAUACCGGCCCCGCGAGUGGUCGGGGUGAUUAUUGGGCCUAAAGCGCCCGUAGCCGGCCCGGCAAGUCCCUCCUUAAAGCCUCGGGCCCAACCCGAGGACGGGGGGGAUACUGCCGGGCUAGGGGGCGGGAGAGGCCGGCGGUACUCCCGGGGUAGGGGCGAAAUCCGUUAAUCCCGGGAGGACCACCAGUGGCGAAGGCGGCCGGCUGGAACGCGCCCGACGGUGAGGGGCGAAAGCCGGGGGAGCGAACCGGAUUAGAUACCCGGGUAGUCCCGGCUGUAAACGAUGCGGGCUAGCUGUUGGGCGGGCUUAGAGCCCGCCCAGUGGCGCAGGGAAGCCGUUAAGCCCGCCGCCUGGGGAGUACGGCCGCAAGGCUGAAACUUAAAGAAUUGGCGGG
Molecule: ribosomal RNA, 411 nt
Filed under: uncultured microorganism
Description: bacterial SSU rRNA
Rfam family: Archaeal small subunit ribosomal RNA
Source: RNAcentral